This 74-nucleotide transfer RNA is filed under the name Phycisphaerae bacterium. RNAcentral describes it as "tRNA-Val". It matches the Rfam family "tRNA". Rfam says of the family: Transfer RNA (tRNA) molecules are approximately 80 nucleotides in length. Their secondary structure includes four short double-helical elements and three loops (D, anti-codon, and T loops). Lineage: Bacteria; Pseudomonadati; Planctomycetota; Phycisphaerae. The record is from RNAcentral. RNAcentral also lists the same sequence under 2 other names.
GGGCGGUUAGCUCAGUUGGCUAGAGCGCCUGCCUUACAAGCAGGAUGUCGUAGGUUCGAGUCCUAUACUGCCCA